Molecule: non-coding RNA, 275 nt
Organism: Paramuricea clavata
Lineage: Eukaryota; Metazoa; Cnidaria; Anthozoa; Malacalcyonacea; Plexauridae
Source: the annotation of a GenBank genome assembly
GUCUCAAUCAAUUCCAUGGGUGCCCAACACCCCCCCGGGCGUUUGUCGGGCUUUUGUCAUUUUGGCGAAAAAACGUUGCAAAUGCCCCAGUAUGGGGGCCAAAUAAUGCAACAAAAUCCCCACCCUUGGGGACUUAUAUUGACGCAAAUGCCCCACCCUUGGGGGACAAAAUAUAAGUUUUCUGAGGAUUUCUGAUCCAAAAAAUCGAAUCCAAGCUCUAUCACGUAUCAAUUUAUCUGUAUUUAAAAUCGAUUCUAUAGGCAUUUCGUUUUAAA